UCCAACUGUGUUAUCCUGUAUUACAAAGUUAUACAUGGUGUCAUAAAAGCUAGGUCAUAAUUAUAUGCCUUUGCUCAUUAUAGGUAUACAAUUUAUUUAUUGAAUUGCUCAGUAUGUCUUCAGAAUAACAUGCCUUUUAAACCAGUUCCUUUGUUCAUACAAAAUGGAACUGGCAGUUAUCCCUUUAUAAAGUAUUGUAAGAACAUUUUCUCAUUUUUGUAACUGAUUGAUGCCCUCUUUUAAAUGGUCCUACACAUAUCUUUUCAAUUCAAGUUUUUGCAUAAUGUGAUAGCAAGAUAAAAGAAUUCCUUACUUCAACGAAACGUUACAAAGCAACUAGAGACACUAUUAAGAGUAUUAACAUGUUUCUAAUGGCAAAGAAACCUUUUAACUGUCUGAUGUGGAGCAUGUUUCUGCUAAGUCACCACAUAUUAUGAUAAUUGUCUCUAUUUUCUGAGACUUUCAAUGGAAUGUAACAAACAGGUAGCUAAAAUUGAAUUGAUAACCAAGAAUAUUCAUUGUGUACUACUGUAGAGGCUUUGCAAUCUUGUACUGAAGAAAAUGUGGCUGCUAAGAUGGUUUUGUUUUGUUUGCUAAAUCCUAAAUACUAAUUAAAAGCAAUGCUGAU
Molecule: non-coding RNA, 628 nt
Organism: Pelobates cultripes (western spadefoot toad)
Lineage: Eukaryota; Metazoa; Chordata; Amphibia; Anura; Pelobatidae
Source: the annotation of a GenBank genome assembly